AUCCCCCACACUGGUACUGAGAUACGGACCAGACUCCUACGGGAGGCAGCAGUAGGGAAUAUUGGUCAAUGGGCGAGAGCCUGAACCAGCCAUGCCGCGUGUAGGAAGACGGCUUUCUGAGUUGUAAACUACUUUUAUAUGGGAAGAAAAAGGCCAUGCGUGGCAAAUUGCCGGUACCAUAUGAAUAAGCACCGGCUAACUCCGUGCCAGCAGCCGCGGUAAUACGGAGGGUGCAAGCGUUGUCCGGAUUUAUUGGGU
RNAcentral lists this ribosomal RNA (258 nucleotides) under Rhodosorus marinus. RNAcentral's name for it is "partial Bacterial small subunit ribosomal RNA". It matches the Rfam family "Bacterial small subunit ribosomal RNA", at positions 303 to 559 of the family's 1533-position model. Lineage: Eukaryota; Rhodophyta; Stylonematophyceae; Stylonematales; Stylonemataceae. The record is from RNAcentral.